CUGCGCCCCCCCCGCCUCCCCCUUCCGGGGAGCCGAGCCCGCCCUCCCGGCCUGGGCGGCGCUGCGCGGCGCGGGGCUCGCCCUCGGGGGCCCCGGGGGACGCGCUGCCGGGCUGCAGGGCGGCGGGUUCGAGCCCCGGGCCGCGCGCGGGCGGCGGUCCCAGCAGCGAGGCGCCCAGCGCGGGGCGGGGCGGGGCGGCCAGCUGGGGCCCCGCACCCGCGCCCUCUCCCCACCCCUGCUUCUCUGCUUCAACUCUAGGAACUAAACCCACAGUGUCAGCUCCUGCUCAGGUUUGCACUGAGUUCUCUCCGAGGCCUUGAAACACUUCUGCGAAGAAACCUGAAUUUACAUUGUCUGCGAUAUUAUAUAACUCAUCCUAGUUACAGUAACAACAGGACUGCCAGAAAGCUUUGGAGGCAUCCAGUCUUCAAAGAAAGCUCCAUUGUACUCAGGAAGCAAAGAGGUUUAAAUAUGUGAUUACAAUUGGCCCCGUAUCAUCAUCUCCUAUGUGUUAAACCAAGUUUUAAAGGACGCCUGGUUCUCCAGUUCUCUACAUGUGAGCAGAGCUCCAGCUGUAAUGCCUGUUAGCUUCAGCUCAGAAAAAGAAGAUGGACACAAAACCAAGAGCAGAGCUUUGGCUGAGCUAGCACCCUUUAAAGGACCUUUCUGGAAUCCCCACCCCCCCCCCCCGCCCUCUCCUUGUAUUGAUUGGCCAGGACCCUGUUGCUUGACCACCCCUGCCUGAAAGGGACAGGGAAAUGCAUGCUGCACCAAAUAAAAUUCAAGUUCUGUUUGUGAGAGAGGAGAAAGAAUAUUGGACAGGCGGCCAGCAGGCUCUGUCACAAAUGAGCAAAGAUGAUCACAGUUCUGUGUAUCUUUGCCUGCAAUCUAGAAAAACAGCAGCUUUUUGUAAGGCAUCUUUGCUGGUUAUUUUUCUCCCGGACCAUCAUAUUUAAUGCAUCUUUUUAAUGCUCAAAGGUGAUUCCUAGGAAGUUACUGUAGUGAAUGGAAAUGCUAAGAGCUUCCCAUCACUAAAAUAACUAUGACAUCAUCUCAAAAGAAAAAUAACAAAUCCCCCGCAAUUACUCUUAUAAACACUCAGAGUUGGAAAUAUUCUACAUUUUUUUUUAACAUUCUACAUUUUAAUGGGAACCGGGGCAGUCCCCAUGGGCAGGACAGGGUUGAUAAGCACUGCAUGCCACUUCCUUUGUCUGCUGUGUCUUCGUUCUUCAGAUCCAGACAGGAGAUGUGAUGAUCCACAACAUGGAGCAGAUGAGGCCCUCGACUGCUCUUCUCACCACAUGCAGUCUCGUCCUCUCACUCUGGUCCUGGAUAGUGUUCUCUAAAAACACCUGCAUCCCCCUAAACGGGAAAGGUGAUCUGUGUGACUGCAAAAUUUGCCUCCAGCCCUAGAUGUGGCUGGAACAUCUUCUGGUUGUUGGGCUGUGCGGGCGUUCCCCUUCUUAGAUGGUAGUUUAUAUAUUUAUACAGGAUUCUGGAAUCUCUCACAUCAGACCUUGAAGCACCAACAAAGGAACAAGUCAAUAUCAAGAAUGAGUAAACAACACCCCCAACAAAACUUGAGCCUUUUAAGAAAUCUGAGGAAAAGUAGAAAAGGAGUAAUGGUGUAAGAGUUUAAAGAACAUGUUUUCACCUUAUAUUCUUACUGAGUUAAAAGCAGACUCAAAAAACUAUUUUAAAAGGUUGGAAUAAAAAAGGAGUGGGGAAAAAAAAGAGAAAAGCACAAUAGCCAAAAUAAAAUCUUAGUCAUGCAGAAAGAAAAAAAUGACAAAACUCUGGGAAAAAACAAACCAUGUUACAUUACAUGAACCUGGAAGGCUCAAGAAAUGAGACAUCAGUUGAUUAGUUUUUAAAUAACAGAGAAGGUAAAAGGUUUGUAAAAUACAGUAGGGAAUUCUAACCUUAAAAUAACAAUAAUUCCAGAAUGGGAGAGAUCAAAUACACAAAAAGGAAAAAAAAAAAGAAAAAAUUAACAAAAUUUAUUUUAGCAUCUGGCACAUAUUAAGAACUUAACAAGUAUUUAUUAAAUAGUUGAAUUAAGUAAAAAAAAUCAUGAGACUGAAAAUGUAGAGAUUUUGCCAUUUUUAUGCAAAACUGAAAAGCAAAAAUCAAUGCCAACAAACAUUCUGGAGAAAGUUUUCCAGUGAAUACCUUAUGUUAUCCACACACACACAGUAUUUAUAUUUAACAAUAGUGAAAAUCAAGGUGCCUUCCUGUUUCUCCUCUGGAGCAUUGAUUAAUGAGAAGGUAGUCAAUAAUACCUUCAGAGUUUUUAGAAGGAAAGUAUAACACUAUUGGUCCAUUUCUCAAAAGCCACUCUCAGCUCUUCUUAGCUCCCCACAGGAUUGAGGUGAGGGGCUAAAUAUCUGCCCUCCCGGCCUUUCUUACAGUUAGGGGUGGAUACCAAGCCUGACCCUGGUUCUUGAGAAGAAAACAGAAUUCUGCUGACAGCACUUCUGAGAAAGCCUUUGGAUUUCUAUAAAGAGCUGGAGAUUUGACCGAUGUGGCUCUUUUGCCUCCGCCUCACUUUGAAACCCUCCCUUGGACAUUGUAUAGGGAUAUUGAUGCCAUAAAAAACUUAGUGGCUGAAAACAACACAAAUAUUACCUUACAGUUCUGGAGUUGGGUCAGAAGUUCAAAAUGUGUCUAAAUUGGGCUUUAAAAAAUCAAGGUGAGGGGCACCUGGGUGGCCCAGUCUGUUAGGCGUCUGUCUUGGGCUCAGGUCAUGAUCUCAGGGUCCUGGG
Molecule: long non-coding RNA, 2765 nt
Organism: Nyctereutes procyonoides (raccoon dog)
Lineage: Eukaryota; Metazoa; Chordata; Mammalia; Carnivora; Canidae
Exons: 4
Source: RefSeq, a predicted model, not a curated record